GGGAAGCAGGUCUAUGCCUGCCCCCGAGCUUUUCCACUGGGGAUUUUUAAAAAAAGGAAUCCAAGUACAGUAGCUUAGAAGUGGAGAGAAAAACCAGGACAGAGCCCUUCUCCUUAUUGUGGGCAAGUGCCUUGUAGUGCGGCGGGGGGAGUCUAGACAGAGCGACAAGCACGUAGGAGGGUGAAACUGACGUUAACGCAGCCGCCGUCGGAAUCUGGUCACUUGCAAGCAGAACACGAUUUAGCUCCGGCGCUCUCGUCUCUUUCAGACACAUAAGCAUAGUGUACACCAGUGGCAAAAAAAAGGCACAAAACCUGCAGUGGGAUCUGCACGGGCUGGAGAAGAGGAUUUUUGCAUUAACCUAUCCCUAUAUAAAUCACAGUUGAUGAUCUCCUAUUAUUACAUUUUGUUACUGUUGAUGAUAUACACUGCUGAAAGGCAAUUUUGGAGCUGAAGGAUGUGUCCGUAUAUUUGUUGUCAACUGGGUUUAGAUGUCGGUAAUAGUUGGAAAAGCAGAAAGGACUACCUGCCUAUCAGCUUACAUCAGCGAGGGGUACUGAAGCUCACAGAUUACCUGAAGAAGCUUUAACCAAUGAUCUGUCUGCCUGGGGAUGAUCAUGAAGAAUCAUUAAACCACUAGGGGGAAAAUUCAGUCUUUCAUAGAUUGAAAAGAGCAUCUGAAUCAGGAGAGACUGUGAACACUCUGGAUCGGUAUCUGAAUGCUGUAGUGGACUGGAUGAGGGCCAAUAAACUGUGUUUGAAUCCUGGGAAGACAGAGGCUCUUUGGAUGGCAGUGUGUGUUAAAGGAAAACACACACAAUGAAGUACAAAUAAUCCUUAAUGCAGGAUAAAUUACUUUCGCCUCCCAGGAAAUUAAGGCUCUUUAAAUUAAUCCCCAUUAUUUGGCAUGUGAAUGAAUAUGUUUACAUUUGGAAUAAGAGCCAUAUUAAACUUCUUCUCACCUUCCAUGGUGCUGAUUUACAACCUACUCUUUCAGGAGCAUUAUUCCUCCAUGAAGACUCAUUCUGUUCAUUCCCUUAUCACUCACACUCUCAUUAUAGUAUGACCAGGAUUUAUGAGUUGAUUACUGUUUGAAUGAUCGACCACAAAGUAUCAUUUAUGUUCCACCCUGACCUUUACUACAACCUCUGGGGAUUACAGUAAGAAGAAAACGUGUGAACUUGGCAUAGCCAAAGGGUGUAAUACAACCCUAGAGAACUGAUGAUAAAGGAAAGCUUCAUAUUUCAGUAACAAAGAGCACAGUUUGAAAAGAAGGCCACUAAAGAAC
This is a long non-coding RNA of Rhineura floridana, 1288 nucleotides long. RefSeq lists it as uncharacterized. The transcript is spliced from 6 exons. The record is from RefSeq and is a predicted model, not a curated record. Lineage: Eukaryota; Metazoa; Chordata; Lepidosauria; Squamata; Rhineuridae.